GGCACCACAUGCAGAAGUCUGACGGAGCCCGCCGCGUGAGUGAUGAAGGUUUUCGGAUCGUAAAGCUCUGUUGUUAGGGAAGAACAAGUACCGUUCGAAUAGGGCGGUACCUUGACGGUACCUAACCAGAAAGCCCCGGCUAACUACGUGCCACCCGCCGCGGUAA
RNAcentral lists this ribosomal RNA (166 nucleotides) under Bacillus subtilis. RNAcentral's name for it is "partial 16S ribosomal RNA". It matches the Rfam family "Bacterial small subunit ribosomal RNA", at positions 365 to 523 of the family's 1533-position model. Lineage: Bacteria; Bacillati; Bacillota; Bacilli; Caryophanales; Bacillaceae. The record is from RNAcentral.